UACGUAGGGUGCAAGCGUUAAUCGGAAUUACUGGGCGUAAAGCGUGCGCAGGCGGUUAUGCAAGACCGAUGUGAAAUCCCCGGGCUCAACCUGGGAAUUGCAUUAGUGACUGCAUGGCUAGAGUGUGUCAGAGGGGGGUAGAAUUCCACGUGUAGCAGUGAAAUGCGUAGAGAUGUGGAGGAAUACCGAUGGCGAAGGCAGCCCCCUGGGAUAACACUGACGCUCAUGCACGAAAGCGUGGGGAGCAAACAGG
This 253-nucleotide ribosomal RNA is filed under the name uncultured bacterium. RNAcentral describes it as "partial 16S ribosomal RNA". It matches the Rfam family "Bacterial small subunit ribosomal RNA", at positions 524 to 776 of the family's 1533-position model. The record is from RNAcentral.